GGCUGAAGGAAAAAGAGAAGCAGACAGGGGACUCUGCAUCUGUCGACACCAGAAACGAUGACCAGCGUAAAGAGGAUGUCAUGUACGCCUCUAUUAACCACAGCAAUAUCAAAGGAACAAGAGCUACAGCCAGC
Molecule: long non-coding RNA, 134 nt
Organism: Nematolebias whitei (Rio pearlfish)
Lineage: Eukaryota; Metazoa; Chordata; Actinopteri; Cyprinodontiformes; Rivulidae
Exons: 3
Source: RefSeq, a predicted model, not a curated record